Molecule: transfer RNA, 91 nt
Filed under: Rhodospirillaceae bacterium
Lineage: Bacteria; Pseudomonadati; Pseudomonadota; Alphaproteobacteria; Rhodospirillales; Rhodospirillaceae
Also listed under: 1 other name
Description: tRNA-Ser
Rfam family: tRNA
About the family: Transfer RNA (tRNA) molecules are approximately 80 nucleotides in length. Their secondary structure includes four short double-helical elements and three loops (D, anti-codon, and T loops).
Source: RNAcentral
GGAUGGGUGGCCGAGCGGUCUAAGGCGCACGCCUGGAAAGUGUGUAUACGGUGAUCCCGUAUCGUGGGUUCGAAUCCCACCCCAUCCGCCA